UGGACCCCUAGAACCAAGCGCAAAGCCAGAAAGCAAAAUCGUUUGGUUAAGAGACCAUUUCUGUGGAUACACACUCACAGAGGACCCUUACCAGUUCUGCCAGUGUUCAGAAACCUAAAGGAUGUCUAUCUACAUAAUAAAUACACUGGAAGUCUGAAGAUGGACAGUAGAACCAAAUGUUUACCGAGCAAGUCACUGUAUUAGAAAAAACAAAUGAACAAACAGUGUCAUGAAUAAAGACCUUGAUGUUGAUGUGUUUUCUCCAACA
Long non-coding RNA from Suricata suricatta (meerkat), 268 nucleotides. RefSeq lists it as uncharacterized. The record is from RefSeq and is a predicted model, not a curated record. NCBI's taxonomy places the organism in Eukaryota, Metazoa, Chordata, Mammalia, Carnivora, Herpestidae. The transcript is spliced from 2 exons.